AAACAACUAAUGCAACUGAUAAAUAUCAGUUUUUCGCCUUACUAAUGUGUCAGUUAACAUAGCUAACGUUAGCUAAAAUAAUGGCAGCGUUAGCCACUAUUGCUAGUGUUAGCCAUGCGGAGGUAGUGGAUGGCAUUUGGAUGCCGACUAUAGCCUACUGCCCUUUUUACCAGCAGACUCCUUAUGAUGUCAUUUUUGGCCUCCACACAAAAAUGAAUUCAAGAUUGUUUUUGCUUCAACGAGACAGGUUCAUUUGUGACAUGUUCAGUUAAUAUCACUAUUACCUUAGGGAUAUUAAGCUAAGCUAAAUUUAGUUUUGGAAAGAGCAACAGGAAGCUCAUACUUCGUGUACCAGGCUGGACAAACACAAACACCAGCCAUUGUAUUCGAGAUGGCACCUUGUGUGCGUGUGCGAGCGUUGGCAUUUCUCUCCAAUAAAACGCACCCAGCCACUGGUUGCUGGGUCAAAAGCGGUGAGAUGAAAAGAUGAGACGAUCUCUGACAGCAGUGAUUUAUUUUCACUGACCUUAAGCCGCCAGACCUGUGAAAGUUGACAGAGAAUGGCCUUAAAGACACUCCCGUGGACAAAGCCUCUGGCGCCCUAUUUUAAACCCCCGCCCAUCCACCUCUGUGUGGUGUUGGUGGUGGAGCAGCCUUGGGUGGUGUCCUGGGAGUUCCACUCGCAUGGCGCGAGACCCGCAAGCACCACAAUGAAUCUUCUGGCCGCAAUUUCCAGCGGAAAGUCCGGGGCCAAAGUCACGGUGAAUGAGGGAUUUAGAAACUAAGGAGGGUGGGUGCUACGUGGUUAAGGGGCUCUCCCUCCACCCCCUACCCCACCCACCCCACUCAGCAGCAUCUGCAUGGACGCCGGGGGCCUCAUCACCGUGGAGGGUGAGGUGGUGGAGGUGAAUGUAGUUUAAGCCUACGUUGGUAUGAAUAAGGCAACAGUCCAAGAAGUUUGUGCAAAUUUCCAUAAAAUGUAAGUUAACUGGAAAAAUCCAUUUUCUUCAGGUGUCCAUGGAGAAAAAAAAUAGAGAGAGGAGAAAAUUAAGUUCAAAUAUUAUUUCACAUGACCUUCUACAGGGGAAAGCCCAGAUGUUUCUGGGUUUCUGGAGGGAUGCUGCAUUAUGGCGGCUGCAGAUCGGGGCACACGUCAAAGUGUCCCAUCUUCAAGCCGCAAAGGAUCAGACUGCGGUCCACAACCUUUUCCACUAUCGAGGAGGUCCGCUCAGAGGACGUCGUCGUUGUGCACGGGGGCGACGAAGCUCGAGGGAGAUGCAGGGACCCUCAACACCCUCGACUGAAUCAGCAUUCCAAAGAAUAUAUCAAAUGCAUGUCUGUAACUCCCUGUAAUAUUACACCCAUCAAUGAUCAGGGAGCGUUUAGUUAGCUCAGGGUGCAAUUAACACUUCCUCACUGUGGUUUGUAUUGAGAUUUAAUACAGUUCAUAAGUGGUAUUGGAUCCUUGGAUCAAUUCUCUGGGAGAACUCAGUUUUUCUCCUUAUUCCUUGGGUGGGAUUAGUGUAAAGAAUCCUUUUCAGUUUUAUUAAUUUUGUCGUCUUAAAAGAAGAAAAUGGCUGUUUAUACGUGUUCCUCCGGCAUUGUUCUUCAAAUAUCCAAGGACUCAAUUUUACACCAUAUUGUGCAAUAAUUGUAUAUAUCAGCCCCUUGUUCAUGUUUUUCUAGGCCUUCUGUCGUGUUUUACUUCAUUCACCAGGAAACCCAAAGGAGAUUGGUAAGUAAAAUAAAAAUCUAUUUUGCCCCUUUAUUGAAUAUUUUAGUUUACAACAUUACGAUUUUCUUUUUUUCUUUUCUUUUUUUCCCCUGUUGCUUAUAAGAUAAGGUGUUAUCCUGUAUUUACUCCUAGUAGAUAUGGUCAAAUAGCUACAACAACUAUUCAAGUUGUGACGACUCUUAAAUGUGCCAUAUGUGCAAACAGAAAAUAUAUUCAACAUUAAUAAGUUGUUGAGUAAAGAUAAUUCAUUGAUGUGUCCCUGCUCGAGUUGCUCCUCCUCCAUUGUGGCGUGAAGAGCCUGAUAAACUUUUUCCACAACUUAAGUCAAUGUGGUUCUCUCAUUGUUGGAGUCAUUCUCUGAGCUUGCACUCUUCAAAACGAAAAGUAACUGUUGUGUAUUUCUGUUUGGGACGGAAAGCUGUUGGUUCACUACUCCAGAACAACUGAUUGUAUGAAACCCG
Gasterosteus aculeatus aculeatus (three-spined stickleback) is the source of this 2196-nucleotide long non-coding RNA. The record is from Ensembl. Lineage: Eukaryota; Metazoa; Chordata; Actinopteri; Perciformes; Gasterosteidae.